UGGGGAAUAUUGCGCAAUGGACGCAAGUCUGACGCAGCAACGCCGCGUGAGUGAGGAAGGCCUUCGGGUUGUAAAGCUCUGUUAAAGUGGAAAAAUGGGCAUUGAACUAAUAGAUCAGUGUCUUGAUGGUACAUUUAGAGGAAGCACCGGCCAACUUCGUGCCAGCAGCCGCGGUAAUACGAAGGGUGCAAGCGUUGUUCGGAUUUAUUGGGCGUAAAGCGCGCGCAGGCGGAUAGAUAAGUCAGAUGUGAAAUCUCGGGGCUCAACUUCGAAACUGCGUCUGAAACUGUUUAUCUAGAAUAUUGGAGAGGAAGGCGGAAUAUCGCAUGUAGGGGUAAUAUCCGUAGAGAUGCGAUGGAACACCGGAGGCGAAGGCGGCCUUCUGGCCGAUUAUUGACGCUGAGGCGCGAAAGCGUGGGGAGCAAACAGG
This 430-nucleotide ribosomal RNA is filed under the name uncultured bacterium. RNAcentral's name for it is "bacterial SSU rRNA". It matches the Rfam family "Bacterial small subunit ribosomal RNA", at positions 355 to 776 of the family's 1533-position model. The record is from RNAcentral.